Molecule: ribosomal RNA, 438 nt
Filed under: uncultured bacterium
Lineage: Bacteria
Description: bacterial SSU rRNA
Rfam family: Bacterial small subunit ribosomal RNA
Source: RNAcentral
GCACAACGCGAAGAACCUUACCUAGGCUUGACAUGCAUCUCUAAGCACGUGAAAGCGUGUGACCCUUCGGGGAAUUUGCACAGGUGCUGCAUGGCCGUCGUCAGCUCGUGUCGUGAGAUGUUGGGUUAAGUCCCGCAACGAGCGCAACCCUUGUGACUAGUUGCCAGCACGUUAUGGUGGGAACUCUAGUCAGACUGCCCAGAUCAACUGGGAGGAAGGUGGGGACGACGUCAGGUCAGUAUGGCCCUUACGCCUAGGGCUGCACACGUACUACAAUGCCCGGCACAAUGAGAACCGAGACCGCGAGGUGGAGGAAAUCUGUAAAACUGGGCCCAGUUCGGAUUGGAGGCUGCAACUCGCCUCCAUGAAGUUGGAAUCGCUAGUAAUGGCGCAUCAGCUACGGCGCCGUGAAUACGUUCCCGGGUCUUGUACACACCG